RNAcentral lists this ribosomal RNA (433 nucleotides) under uncultured bacterium. RNAcentral describes it as "partial 16S ribosomal RNA". It matches the Rfam family "Bacterial small subunit ribosomal RNA", at positions 29 to 507 of the family's 1533-position model. The record is from RNAcentral.
AACGAACGCUGGCGGCAUGCCUAACACAUGCAAGUCGAACGAGACCUUCGGGUCUUGUGGCGCCCGGCUUCGUCACGCGUGGGAACCUUCCCUUAUGUUUGGCAUACCUCCCCGACUGGGGUGCUAAUACCGGAUAAUGUCUUCUGCCCAAUGAUUUAUCGCCGUUGGUUGGUCCCUCGUUGGAUUAGCUUGUUGUUAGGGUAAAAGCUUACCACGGCGACGAUCCAUAGCUGGUCUGAGAGAAUGAUCAGCCACACUGGGAGUGAGACACGGCCCAGAAUCCUACGGGAGGGAGGAGUGGGGGAUAGUGGAAAAUGGGGGAAGGCAUGAACCAGCAAGGAUGCGUGAGUGAUGAAGGCAGUAGGGUUGUAAAGCGCAUUUAACCGGGAUGAUAAUGACAGUACCGGAAGAAUAAGCUCCGGCUAACUACGUG